RNAcentral lists this ribosomal RNA (253 nucleotides) under uncultured bacterium. RNAcentral describes it as "partial 16S ribosomal RNA". It matches the Rfam family "Bacterial small subunit ribosomal RNA", at positions 524 to 776 of the family's 1533-position model. The record is from RNAcentral.
UACGUAGGGUGCAAGCGUUAAUCGGAAUUAAUGGGCGUAAAGCGUGCGCAGGCGGUGAUGUAAGACAGGUGUGAAAUCCCCGGGCUUAACCUGGGAACUGCAUUUGUGACUGCAUCGCUGGAGUGCGGCAGAGGGGGAUGGAAUUCCGCGUGUAGCAGUGAAAUGCGUAGAUAUGCGGAGGAACACCGAUGGCGAAGGCAAUCCCCUGGGCCUGCACUGACGCUCAUGCACGAAAGCGUGGGGAGCAAACAGG